This is a long non-coding RNA of Penaeus monodon (black tiger shrimp), 243 nucleotides long. RefSeq lists it as uncharacterized. Lineage: Eukaryota; Metazoa; Arthropoda; Malacostraca; Decapoda; Penaeidae. The transcript is spliced from 3 exons. The record is from RefSeq and is a predicted model, not a curated record.
AGGUGCAGGCAGUAUGAUCCAGCAUGUGGUUCAAGCUAGAAUGCUUCUGCCAUUUACCCAACUGCAAGCCUCAUGAAUCACUCAUGUAAACCCAACAUCAUAAACAGUUUCUACAAGGAUAAGCUGGUUAUUCGCACAAUUGAAGACGUUGAGAAUGGCAGCCAGAUAACCAACUGCUAUGGUCCACAUUACUGUCGACAAACGCGCGAAGAGAGACAGCAGGCCUUGAAACAGCAGGACUAC